UAGGGAAUCUUCGGCAAUGGACGGAAGUCUGACCGAGCAACGCCGCGUGAGUGAAGAAGGUUUUCGGAUCGUAAAGCUCUGUUGUAAGAGAAGAACGAGUGUGAGAGUGGAAAGUUCACACUGUGACGGUAUCUUACCAGAAAGGGACGGCUAACUACGUGCCAGCAGCCGCGGUAAUACGUAGGUCCCGAGCGUUGUCCGGAUUUAUUGGGCGUAAAGCGAGCGCAGGCGGUUAGAUAAGUCUGAAGUUAAAGGCUGUGGCUUAACCAUAGUAGGCUUUGGAAACUGUUUAACUUGAGUGCAAGAGGGGAGAGUGGAAUUCCAUGUGUAGCGGUGAAAUGCGUAGAUAUAUGGAGGAACACCGGUGGCGAAAGCGGCUCUCUGGCUUGUAACUGACGCUGAGGCUCGAAAGCGUGGGGAGCAAACAGGAUUAGAUACCCUGGUAGUCCACGCCGUAAACGAUGAGUGCUAGGUGUUAGACCCUUUCCGGGGUUUAGUGCCGUAGCUAACGCAUUAAGCACUCCGCCUGGGGGAGUACGACCGCAAGGUUG
This 551-nucleotide ribosomal RNA is filed under the name uncultured bacterium. RNAcentral describes it as "bacterial SSU rRNA". It matches the Rfam family "Bacterial small subunit ribosomal RNA", at positions 355 to 896 of the family's 1533-position model. The record is from RNAcentral.